RNAcentral lists this ribosomal RNA (661 nucleotides) under uncultured bacterium. RNAcentral's name for it is "bacterial SSU rRNA". It matches the Rfam family "Bacterial small subunit ribosomal RNA", at positions 94 to 788 of the family's 1533-position model. The record is from RNAcentral.
AGUGGCGGACGGGUGAGUAACCCGUGAGAAUCUGCCUUCAGGUCGGGGACAACAGAGGGAAACUUCUGCUAAUCCCGGAUGAGCCUUAGGGUAAAAAAUUUAUUGCCUGGAGAUGAGCUCGCGUCUGAUUAGCUAGUUGGUAAGGUAAAAGCUUACCAAGGCAACGAUCAGUAGCUGGUCUGAGAGGAUGAGCAGCCACACUGGGACUGAGACACGGCCCAGACUCCUACGGGAGGCAGCAGUGGGGAAUUUUCCGCAAUGGGCGAAAGCCUGACGGAGCAAGACCGCGUGGGGGAGGAAGGCUCUAGGGUUGUAAACCCCUUUUCUUUGGGAAGAACAAAAUGACGGUACCAAAGGAAUCAGCCUCGGCUAACUCCGUGCCAGCAGCCGCGGUAAUACGGAGGAGGCAAGCGUUAUCCGGAAUGAUUGGGCGUAAAGCGUCCGCAGGUGGCAAUGUAAGUCUGCUGUCAAAACCCAGGGCUCAACUCUGGUCAGGCAGUGGAAACUACAUAGCUAGAGUUCGGUAGGGGCAAAGGGAAUUCCCGGUGUAGCGGUGAAAUGCGUAGAGAUCGGGAAGAACAUCGGUGGCGAAAGCGCUUUGCUAGACCGAAACUGACACUCAGGGACGAAAGCUAGGGGAGCGAAUGGGAUUAGAUACCCC